UGCCAUGUGCACGCAAGGCUGGACAGGGCUGGAGUCUCUAGAUGCCAUCAGGGUUUGACUGCACACUGGAAAUUGCUUUUGAAAGAAGGUCACUAUCUUUCACAGCAGAAUAGGGAGAGAACACUGCAGGAGAAAAUAGGGCUUAUUAUUGUACACUAUACGUUCUUCUGUUGCUUUUCAAAGCUGUUUUCAAAGGGCAAGUUUCAUGUCAGGUCUGAAUGCGUAGCAGUUGCUUCUUCUCACCCUACAGAAAGCACUUUCCCACUACCUUUGUGUGGAUCUUGGCCUAAUGGCCCUGGGCUACUGACCGACACUCAUAUUGCCCACCAUGGAAGAGACCUGAGGUCCUCUGUGCCUCCUGGCACUUGGAGAAAGGCUUUAGUGUCUUAGUUAUCACAGCAGCUCUGUGGGUGAUGCUGGAUCGGCAUUCUUAAUUCUAAUGACCAGAUGACAGUUUGAACUCCAGAGAUUUAAGUGGUUUUCUAAGAUCAUAAAAGAAAGGCUUCUGGCAAGAAUGGUUUCUGUCAAGCUUCUGGUUCUGUAUACUUUGAAAAAAAUAAGUGCCAUUAAAGAUGAGUUGAAAAUUAGUCCCUGAGUAACAUGUAGAAUAUGAGUGUCGAAGGAUCCUUGCUCUGGGAAACACCAGCCACUCCUGCUGCCCAACCCAAGCCGUCCAUGUCUCUCCACUGCCAUCGUCUUGUCUCCUGUAGAGUCUUGGCCUCAUGGCGGCUAGAGACUGUUGGAGCAUAAAUCAGAUGUCAUGCCGCUGCUCCAGGCCUCACCUGGUCCUCCAUCUCAGGCAGAGGAAAAGCCCCUGUCUUGUGAAACCCGUCAUACAGCUUUCCUCAGCCAGUCCCCUGUCCCUCUGACCAUGUUGGCAGCUGCCCACUCCUCCCUCCUUCCUCAAGUGCACCAUGCCCACUUUCCAGCGACCUUUGUCUUUUCUGUGGAGACUUUUCCAGGACACACGUAGGGGUCACACCCCAGUCACCUAGGUCUCUACUCUACACCUAAGUCACUCAUCCCAAGGCCAGGUCUUUCCUCGCCUUGGCUUACCGUGUUUCCUACCCAGUUCUCCCCCUUCUGCUUGACAGUGAGUACAGGCUUGGCUUGUCCUCUGUCAUCGCACACCUGAGCAUAGGGACCAGUCCGCCUUUGUCCACUGCCCUGCAGCACUC
This 1178-nucleotide long non-coding RNA is filed under the name Marmota monax (woodchuck). Lineage: Eukaryota; Metazoa; Chordata; Mammalia; Rodentia; Sciuridae. The record is from RNAcentral.